GCUUUCUCUUGAGCCAACACCCAAAGCCACCAUCAGUGUCAUGGGGAUGAGACUUUUCAAGGUAAGUGAAAAGAAAACAGGAACAAAUGUAUUUUCACACAGAAUUUGCUGAAGGCCUUGGCUCAUAGUAGGAAGUACUGCCUCACAGGGAUCCCUGUUUGGGGUGUGGAGGGACAUACUGUCCUGGUUUAUGUGGAAUCAUAUAUGGUGUGAGUGAAAUGAGACAGAUCCCCAUUCCCAAGUGCCCUAUCUAAGAUGGAAGCGGGUUAUGUUGUCUAGACUAGAGGAAAUGCUUUUUUUUUUUCUUUCUUUUUUUUUUUUUUUUAGGGAAGGUUAUCAGAAUUUUAAAAGCCAAAUGAUGGCUGGAGAGAAUAACUAACAUUUUAUUGACUGCUUGGCUUUUAAAAGGUGUUUCUCCUCUUUCUUUUUGUUUAAUUUAAAAAGUCUUCUUUUAACCCCGAGAUGCAAUUAAAACUUAAUUUGUGCCUUAUUACAUAGCAGGUAUCCGUUGGCUUUUAUUUAUUAUUUUCUCCAUUAGGAGUUUUAAACUUGAGGUGGAAUUAAUGUCUCUUCUAUGAUCUUUUAUAGUCUUCUUUUUCACAUAUAUGAGUGUUUCAGAAUCCUCUAAAAUACCAUGAGUUUUAAUGUAAUAUGGAUUUUACUAUAUUGUAAAUAUUAGAUUAUUAAGAGUUCCUUAACCCCUUUUAAUGAGAAGGAAACACAGACUUGAAUAGAUAUUUGUGGUUCUUAUUCUUCAAGGAUUUGCCUCCCCUUUUGUGCUUUUUUCUAGGCUGUUCCCACUUUCUUCUUCUUCCUCCUUUGCAGAAGGUAAAACAUCAAUUUAAGAUGAUGAAACCAGACAUUUUGAGAAAAGUUUGGACAACAAUGACAAAGGCAAGCUCCUUUCACUUUGAUUUUUACCCAUUUAUACAGUUUAUACAUAUUUAUCGACUUAAGUUGCUUUAUCACAAUGAUACUUGAAAGCCAACAAUAGAAAUCAUCUUAGAAUUUUGAGUUGUGAUCUUUUCCCUGGCUAGUGAUAUGUGGUACCAUGCUCUCAUGAUGCUGAACAGAGGAAGUGAGCUGCACUCCCAGGCAGCUGUGCACGGAGAGGAUAAACAACUGUCAUCUGCAGUUGUUUGCUAAGCUAUGGUAUUUGGUAGGUUAGGGGUACCAAGUACAUUUUGAAUAUAUGAAUAAAUAUGUGGGUUCACCAAGAAAUAACCUCAUUGUAAGCCAAGGAGCAUCUGUAUUUAUAAGACCAUUUCCUUCCAACCUAAGAGAAUUCUAGCUCAUGUUGAUACAUAAGUUUUAGCAACUUAUCCUAUCCAAUGCUUUGUGUUGACAUAGCCACUCUGAUGUCUUCAGUUCUAUCCUUGGCAACUAUUAUUCCAGAGCCCAUUGGAUCUGAGAUUAUACCAGAAUUUCAUCUUUUCUCAGCCUGAGAUAUUUUUUUACUGUGAAAAUCUUACCCACUGGCAGAUCUAAUUUCUAGAUCUCUCUGGAUUUGACAGAUAAGAUAAACUAACAAGAAUAUUUUGCAUUUGUAUAGCUUUCAUAUACAAAUAUUUUAUUCUCAUAGGCCUAUUUCAAGUUAUGAGUAGAUUUUGAAAAGCAAACUCAACUGACUGACAAAUAGCUAUGAGGACUCUGGACCAGCCUAUUUGUGUUCUUGGACUGCCCAUGAUCAUUGAUUGCUUAUAGAAGUGUGAUUGCAGUAGUUUUGGGGGAGACAAAUCUGACAGUGUCUGUGAACAUUUACUGUGACAUUUUCUAAAGUUCCUUCCAAGGCUUGCAUCACCUGGAUCCUGGCCAGAGUGUCUGUCUGACAUCCUGGCUUGCUUCUCCCUCACUGUGCACCACCCAUGAUUGGCUGUCCCCAUGGGUUCUCAAUCACGUUUUCUCUGUUCUUGGAACUUUGACGCUGGCUACUCUUUCUACCUGGAUUGCUCUUAACACUCCUCGUGGCUUACUCCUGCAAGUUGUUCAGAUUACUGAUCAAAUGUCUUCUCAAAGAGGUCUUCCUUGAUCACCCCAUCCAAAGUAUAAAGUAAAUUCCCUGUGCCUUUCUAUUUCCUUAUUUAGCCUCAUAAAAAUAUAACAUUAUGUUACUUAUUAAACUACUGCCUUUCUCCACCAUUAGAAUGGAUAUUCUGUGAGAGUAAGAACUCCAUUUUUCCCCCCUGCUCUAUUCCUAGAUUUGAAUAGUACAUAGAGGGCUUUAAAUGAAAACCUACUGCAUGAAUGAAUUGUUUGUUGUAGCAAAUGAACAAAAAUAUAAGCAAAAAGAAUACCCAUUGGCAGGAGAAUGGUUGGAUGAAUUGUGCUCUAUUGAUAACAUGCAGUAUUACACAGUUACUGAGAAGAAUGCAUUAGAUAUGUAUUGGGAGAUUUACAAAAAUUAUUAUUAAGGAAGAAGUGCAGACAUAAUAGAGUGUAUAAAAUUAAACUAUGACUAAUUAUCUACCUUCUAGUUAUUUAUCUUUCUAUGUAUCUGUUUACACUUGACUACAUGAAAAUAGGUUCUGGUGGUUAUGCAUUCAGUUGUAGGCAUUGCUAUGUAGGGAAAAUUGUGCCAGGUGAUUGUUGAGCAGGAUUUGGGUAAGGGAAUCAGAGGGCUGAAGGUUGGCUGAAAGGGGAUAGCUAGAUAAACUUUCUUUACAACAACUUCAUUCAAAUCUUUCUUCACUCCUGAGAGUGACAAUCUCUGACUCCUGGUAAGUGACUUAUUUGGCCCCCACUAAUUUCUAUCCUUUGAAGUUCCAUGUUAAUGCUCUAGCAUGCUGAAGCACAGGUUCCAGACAGUAUACUUAAGCCUUGUCUUGACUACCACUUGGAAUCUUUGCAUUCUAAAAUUUAUUUUUCUUUUACUGAUUGAUGUACUUUACUUUUGUUUGUCAUGCAAUUGAGUCCCUGAUGUUCUUUGGGCUGUUGCCUUUCAUUUUUUAGGGGAUUCUGCAGAAGGACUACAAAACUGAUCCUAGAAAAUGUAGGCUUUUGUGGUUUACUAGGGCCCAUAAAAUCCCUAGAAGGGUGCCUGGGAAGACAACAACACUAAGUCUGUGGUAACAUGCUCCACAUGCAUAAAGGUAGGUCGACAGGGCCCUCUGAUAGGCAGUUUGGGAAGCAUUAUUGUUAGAAAGAGUAAACAUUCUGAAAAUAAAAUGGUAUUGUCUCAAAAGCAUAAGAAGGCAGAGGCAAAGUAAUAUGGUUUGAAUAAUUAAUAAUACAAUUAAUGCCCCCAAACCCACAUUUUAGGGUAAGAAUGAGUUAAUUCAUUUUAUCAUAGCUUUCAGUCACAAAAUUUCAUAUUCACUAGUAUUGGUUAGUUUUCCAUCACCUCUAAGGACAGGGUUGUGUACCUUUUCCACUGUCAUUGGAUGGUAAUUUUCAGGCAUCUGUCUACACUUUAAAUGAAAUAAUUUAGAAAUACUGGUUCUAAACUUAAGCUUCCUGAAAGCAAGAAAAAAAUCCCAUAGUGAUUUCAAUUUGAGAAAAUAUAGUGGUUUUGCAACAAUAUAAGUUUGCUAUUUCUAUCUUUAUAGUGUUUUUUUUCUUAUUACUAUUUUAAAGAGGAAUGGUACAACUUGAGAAGAAUAUUAAAAAGUAUCCUAGUGCAAUAAGAAACUGGACCAAUCCAUAAUGUCACAAGCCAUGUGGACAUUAUAAAAUUAGUUUGAAAAUAAUGUUUUCUAAGAGAAGAAAAAGAUGUCUAAACCUUAAAGUGGGGGAAAAACAUCCUAAGAAACUAUUUUUCUAGGAUUUAGACUUUGAAUGAUUUUUCACAUCAACAUAUUUAUAAAACAAAAUUCUUUCCUUUUCUCAUAAGUAUAUAUGUAAUUGAAGAAGAAAAUUAGGGGGCAGUGAUAGAUUAAUGCAGUGUAAGAAUUCUGAAUUUCUAACACACAUGCUUAAUAAACACCAAAUGACAAAAAAUCAUAAUGGUUCGUAAUUGUUUUCUUUCAUGAUGCACCUUGGACUUUGACAUUCACUUAUUUAGGGCAGAAGCCUUUUAAUUAUGUGAACUGGCAGAGCUCAAAAGAAACACAUAAAUAAAUAAAGAAUUGCAAAUACCCUUUACAAUAUUCUUUUUUAAAAGCAGGAUGGAAAGAAAUAAGCAGUAUAUAGAGGAUAUGUCAGCUUCAUGACUGACCUUUCACUGUCUGUUGCUUCACGUUAGAUCCUCUGCAUGAUGGCUGCUUGUGUGUGUGUGUGUGUGUUCAGCAGUAUCAUUUUCAAAAUUAGACUUCUUGAAUUAGGAAAACAUGUUAAAAUCUCACAUUUUAGAAUUGUGGGGAAAGUUUGCACCAGUCAAUGAGUUGAGAAGCUUACUUUCAUUAUUAAUAUGCAACAGUAAUUCCAGUUGUGUUCUGAUAAAAGUCAAUAUAGAUAUUAGUCAUCAGCUCCACAACUCUUGAUGAGACAGGUUUCUACAGAAAAAAAUAUGCCCAUAAGUAUAGAUAUUAGACAUGACCUGAGUAACUAAAGUCAAUAUAGAUAUUAGACAUCAACUUAGUAACUUUUGACAAGAUAGGCUUCUACACAGAAGACUCUCUGGUACUCUAGGGUUUUACUUAACUGUAAAAUCUAACAUCUUUACCCUUUUUAAAACAAACAUUUUUGAACUUAAAACAUAAUUAAAUAGUGUGCUCCAAUCUUAUUAGUAGAGAAAAUUAGUAGUAGAAAAUAUAUUGACUGAUUGAAAAGGCCUUUCAUCCUGGACACUGAGGGUCACCUCUGGCAAAUGUUAGUUACAGUAAUUGAAAUGAAGAUCUUAGCCAGCUGUUCCCUGUACCCUAUUAUAAAUAUGCCUUCCAAGCAGUAUGCUCAGAGGCUUACUGAUAGACAGCUAUGGAACGUAGUGCUCCUUCUAAAGGUCUUCACCUACCAACUUUAUAUUCAUAAUUGCUCCAUGAAAAUUUAUAAUUUUUUAUGCUUGUUAAAAUUACAUGAAUAUAAUUCAUUUUUAGUAAAGCUUCACCAGAUAAUACUAAAUAGAAUGGCUUUCUUUUUUAACUGUACAUAUGUACUGUUGUUAUCUGCUACUUUAUGAAUCUAAGAACACUCAGAGAGAAGAAUAGUUAUAAAAAUAAUUUUGCUUACAGACCUUGCAAAAUGUUUUCAGAUAUAAAAAUUAUCACAAAACUAAAAACAGUAUGUUACUAGAAGCAGAAUUAGCAAUAUGCAAGUAUUUUUACACAUGAAUAUGGAAAUUUUAAGCAUUUUAAAAUUCUUAACUUGAAAUCUAUUAUGUAUAGUAUAACUUUUAAUAUUUUAUGACACACAUGUAUUUUAAUAUUUUAUUUUAUGAUGCACAUGUAUUAUAUUGAUUUAAUGUUAAUUUCUAUACUAUCUCUUAAUCCUUUUCAUACUAUCUUUUAAUCCCAUUAUCCUUUGUAUUCUCCCUCCCUCUCUUUCUCUCUCUCUCUCUCCCCUUGGACACAUAUAUUUUUUUUUCUUUUCCAAAUGCAAAUAUGGGCUAUUUUUAUAAAAAUUUAAAAUUUGAUAUACAUAUAAAAUUUCAGAUUAUGACUCCCAUAAGCAUUAACAUUUUAUUUAAAAAAUACAAAGAAAGUAUUCUUAAGACAUUUAAUUUUUUUUUAAAUUUAUUAUAUAAGCUAAUCAAUGAUUACAUGACAUAUGGGUAUGAAGUAGUAAACAUGUUUAUUACAAACUAUGAUUUAGAUGAAAAAUUUGGUCAGUGAAUACUCAUUUUAAAAAAUUAAGAGAAAUUUAGUUUCUUUGUGACAAUAUGACAAAUUCUUCUAUUAGUGGCAUUUAUGUGAAUAAAGCCAUUCCAAAUUCUCUGGGUUCCUUAACCACUAAAAUGAACCUCACUGUAGUUACAUCUUGGACCUUGUCCAUGGAAGUUUAAAGCUCAAAGUAUCAGCACUUUAAAUUGGUUUCAUCUAUAAUGGUUUACUUUUAACGAGACAGGAUGUUCAAUAUGAGAUUAAUGUAGAAUGAGCCCUGGCUCCAGACCAAGUAAGUUUCUGAUAUUUUACUCUCUAGUGCUGUUUCCCACAGCUUUUAUGCACUGCCGAGAGACCGACAACUGCAAACUACUCCUCAAGUAAAUUUGUUAAAAAUUGGAAUGGAUUGUCUGGUUGUUCCUUUAUUUGGUAAAGUUUAUACUUUUUGAACAGAUUUGUUUAUUGUUGAAUAGACAUGUCUUCUAAGCUCUUAGGAAUUACAUAUUUUCUUGACCUGAUUCCUCCAGGUCCAGUAGAAGUUAGCCAAUAAACUGAGGCAGGCAAGUGUGUUCUGGCUCCCAGAGGGAGAAUAAUCUUCAUUUAGUGGAAAUGCAAAUAAUUGGGGGUGGUGCUAAAAACAUGGGUGGGGAUAAGACUGUCCAGGAAGGCGAUAAAGAAGAGCGUAGAAAAUAGAACCAUGCAAAUUCAAAAUUGAAACUGAGAAGGAGAACUCAGAAACUAAAAAGGAAUAGCUAGCAAAAAAGGGGAGGUAGUAUCCCAGAAGAAAAACACUGCGGGAGUGAGGGGUUGAAAAGAAUACAGCCAACUGCAGCAUCCAGUGGUGCAACAAGCUUAAGUAAUAGGAGAAUAAAAACGUGCUCAGAGAUGCUGGCCACUGAGAUUUCAUGGUGGGCUUAAAGAGAGCAUUCUUGGAAGGCUGACGUGGCUGAGAGAAUAGGAAGAAGAGUCAGUGAACAUAAACAACACUUAUGAAAGCAUCUGAUGAUGGGCUGGGAGGGGCGUAGUGAAGGGUCUGAACAAGAGAAUAGGUUGAGGGAACAGACCAUCUUUCCAUUUUUGGAAAUAAAAUUUUGUUUCUGAUAUAAAUACAGGGAUUUAAUCUGAAAUGCUUCUGUAGUACGUUAAGUUAGAAGGUUUCAAGGCUAUAGCUUUACAAUGACAAAAUAGAAAUAAAUAGACAAAAUCAAUGUAAUUAGCCACUUGAAAUAAUUUAUCUUAAGCUUACACACCAGCAUCUAAUGUUUUUUGAGUGCUAAUAGAUUUAAUUUGCUCUGGUUAAAAUUUUUCAAUAAAUACCCAUUAAAUAUCAUAAAUACUAAUUACAUUUUUUUCUGUGAAUAUUUUAUAUUCUGUACUCUGUUGAUGAUAUAUGCCAUGUGUAAUGUUUAGUUUAACAUUAAGUUAGAAUGAAUCUUCUUCAGAAUAUGCUAGCAUAUUUCUUAGAAAUACAAGAAACAUUUUCCCUAUGAUAGACAUUUUUGAAUGGAACUUUUAUAAAUACUAACACUAAAGGUGAAGACAACUUCUGUAAAUUAGAAUCAGUAUUAAUGUUAAAUGUUAUGGUUUAGAAAUAGAAACAAGUAUAAAAAGUCACAAAAGUUGUUGUUACAAACUAUCUUAAAAGGAUUUCUAUUUCUACUGCUAGAGCCUGCCAUGAAGGAAAUGGUGAUCAGAUACUUCAAAUUUGAUUUUAGAUUUAAACAACUUGAGAAAACUGCAGUUACUCAUGACUCCCUUUAUCCAAAAGUUCUACAUUCCCGUAUUUUUUAAGGGCGUAUCCUGGGUUCCCUUCUCUUUUCUGAUUAUCAUUCUUAAAGCUUGGUGUAUUGCCUGUAUUCACUCCUGAUGAGGAGUGAAUUUAUAUUUCUAGCAAACACCAGUAAUCUGAAUUAAUGGAUCUAAUGCCUCUUUCUCCUCCUUUUCCUCUACCUUCUGCUCCUACUUCACAACCACUUUAGUUUAAUCGAAAAAUAAUUGACAUUUAAUAUUGACAAUAUACGUUUUGGGUAUGAAAAGUAGUACAACCCCACUGGAAAACAGUUUGGCAACUUCCUAAAAAUUUAAACAUGUGCCUACCUUACAAUUCAGCCAUUUCAUUCCUAGGUAUUUUUUUCAAGAGAAAUUGAAAUGUAUGUCCAUACAAAGGCUUAUAUAUAAAUGGCUAUAGCAACUUUAAAACUUUAAAACUGUAAAAACACAAAUGCCCAAAAGUGAAUGAAUAAGGUUCAUUUUGAGUAAGGGAAUGUGACAUAUUCCUACAAUGGAAUACCACUGCUCAACAAUAAGGAAUGAAUUGAUGAUGCACAUGAAAUAUGGAUGAAUCUUAAAAGAUAUGUUGAGUGAAAAAAGCCAGGUAAAAGUAUCAAACUUUUUUCCAAUGACUAUUUAAAUUUACCUUGCUGAUUUGUAUUUUAUGACCUAUAGUCCAGAAUGUUUCUGAGUACUACGGGAACAUUUCAUUUAUUAUAUCAAAUGAUUUCAUUUAUAUGAAAGUUUAGAAUAUAUAAGCUGAUAUAUAACAACAUAAAGCAUAUUUUGGUUGCCUGGGGACUUUUGAGGGAAUGGGGAGAGUGGGAGAAAUUGCAGAAGGCUCCAGAAAUAUUUUGGGCAAUCAUUACAUCCCUUGUUCUGCUUGUGGUAAUAAUUUUAUGACUGAACACAUAAGUCAAAACCUACAAAUUGUACAAUUUAAAUAUGUGCAGCGUAUUAUAUGUCAAUUUCUCUUUUAUUAAGCCAAAAAGAAAAGGUAAGAUUAGAAGGAGGAGGAGGAGAAGGAGGAAAAAAGUAGAGCCAUAAAUUUAGAGUAGUGGUAUUUGCUAGAAAUAUAAAUUAAGCCAGGUGCAAUGGUGCACACCUGUAAUCCCAGCAACUGGAGAGGCUGAGGUGGGAAGACUGCAAGUUUGAGGUCAUCCUUGGCAACUCAACGAGGACCUAAGCAACUCAGCAGGACCCUAUCUCAAUUUUUAAAAAAGUAAAAAAGCUCUGGGGAUGGUGGUAAAGUAUUCCUGGGUUCAAUCCUCAGUGCUCCUCCCCCCAAAAAAAUUCAGUCCUCACCAAUGUGUAAAGCUUUUGUGAAUGAAUGAAACCACCUACAUAGAAAUUAGUCAGAAAAGAGAAGGGGAUCCAGGGUACAGUUUCAAGAAAGACCAAAAUGUAAACGUUUAGGGUGAAGCCCAGUGUAAUGGUGCAUGCCUGUAAUCCCAGUGACUCAGGAGUGUGAGACAAGAAGAUCACAAGUUCAAAGGCAGCCUAAGCAAUUUAGCAAGGCCCCAAGCAACUCAGUGAGACCCUGUCUCUGAAAUACAAAAUAGGGCUGAGGGUGUGGUUCAGUGGGCAAGUGUCCCUGAGUUCAAUCCCUGGUACAUAAAGAAAGAAAGGAAGGAAGGGAAAGAGGGAGCGAGGAAAGAAAGAUAGUUUAGGAUGAAAGGUGGAGGGAGGAGUCAUGACAAAUUGUUCAGUUUUCUUGAAUUCUUUAAAUCCAAAAUCAAAUUUGAAGCAUAUGAUCAUCAUUUCAUUCACUGCAGACUGUACCAGUAGGAACACACAUCCCUUUAAGAGAGUUUGUAACUUUUGUAACACGGAUGGCUUUUAUAGUCAUUCUUAUUACUAAACUGUAGUUUGUUGCUCCCCUUCCUUGUCAACACUUAAUAUGGCUAAUAUUAUAACUUUAAUUCUCAUAGAUGUGUGGUGUUAUUUAUGUGAUUUUCUUUUGCAUAUCUCUAAUAACCAAUGAUGGUAAACAUGUUUUCUGUGCUUAUUUGCUGUCUAUAUUCAUUUUGGGUAAAGUGUUUGUUCAAUUCUUCUGUCAUUUUUAAAUUGGGUGAAUUAUUGUCUUAAUUUUGAGUUUUAAGAAAAAUGGAACAUAAUUGUUUUCCCUGGAUAUAAAUUAUUUAGCAGAUAUAUACUUUGCAAAUACUUUCUUCCAUUCAGGGUUUUUUCUUCAUUGUCUUUCAAGAAACAGACAUCUUUAAUUUUGAUGACAUACAACUACAAUUUUUCUGGAUUUUUGCAUCAUGCUUUUGGUGUCAUAUCUGAAAAUUAUUUGCCUAAACAAGGUCACAUUGAUUUUUUUACUUGUACAAGUUUUAAAGUUUUACAUCCUAUGUUGAGGCUUAGGUUCAUUUUGAAUUUUGAAUUAAUUUUUUUUAUGGUUUGAGAUAUAUAUGAAUUUAUUUUCCUGAACAUACAUAUGCAAUGGUUCCAGAAUUAUUUUUUGAAAAGGAAUUUUUCUUAACUGAAUUUUCUCUUCACAUUUGUCAAAGUGAUAGUUAUCUAUAUAUGUAAAGUUUUACUUCCGCACUCUCCAUCCUGUUCCAUAGAUUUGUUUAUUUAUUUUCAUGCCAAAACCAUACUGUUCAUUUUAUCUAUCUUGACAUUAGGCAGUGUUAAUCUUCAAAUUUUUUUUAAAGUUGUUUUGGCUAAUAUAGGUCUUUCCAUUUCCAUAUGAAUUUUUAAAUUAGGUCAGUGAAGUUCUCUUUUUUAAUUAUCUUUUUUUUAGCAUUUCAUUUUGAUUAUUCCUAUUGCCAUAUUUUCAAGUCCAUGAAUCUUUUAUCCUGUGAUGACUAAUCUGCUGUUCAUCUAAUUUGAUGUAUAACAUUUUUAUCUUGGUCAUUAUGGUUUUCGUCUCUGAAAGUUUUAUUUUGUCAUUUUCAUAUCUCCCAUAUCUUUACUUCAGUUUCUUAAAAUGUGGGAAAAUAGUCUUGUGUGCUAACCCUAACAUCUGUGUCAUUUCUGGGUUGGGUUCAGUUGAUUAAUUUUAUUCUUGGUUUUUAAAAUUUCUUGUGAAUGAGUCAUAAUUUCCUACUUCUUUGUAUGACUGGUAGUUUUUUAUUAGAUGCCAGGCAUUGUGCAUUUUACCUUCUUGGAUGUUGUAUAUUUUUGUAUUCUCAUAAAUAUUUUUGAGCUUUGUUCUGGGGAAUAGUUAAAUUAUUUGGAAAUAAUUUGAUCCUUUCUUUUCUUACAUUCUAGAUUUGUUAAGUGGGACCAGAGCUGUGUUUAGUCUACUGCAUCCCAUUGUUGGGAAAAGAUCCUCCAAAGUGCUUACCCACUGCCUUGGAAACAUGAGGUUUUCCUGUCUAGUUGGUAUGAGAAGAACUUUUCCCAGCCCUAUGUAAACUCCAAGAACCAUUGUCUCUAAUCCUUUUAGUUUUUUUUUCCUAGUCCUGAGGGGGGAAUGAUCACAUGUUACAUGCAUAUGACGAUCAGUGUUCCCCUGAAUGAUCUAGAAGAGUUCUCUUCAGAUUUCCACACUUGUAUCUCAGUGCAGCUCUCCCCUGUCCACCGUGUAGAAGCUCCUUCCGCCCUGUGCCAUCCUGUAGAAACUCUCUCAGGGAUAUAAGUGAAUCUUAUAGCUUUUUGACAUCUCCUUUUGGAUGACCCAUAGCCAUCCCAAACUUAAUAUACCUAAAGUGGAAUUUCUCUCUGAAAACUUUUCUCCUUUUAUUAACCUCUCAAUAUGUAGUAUAACAACCAGACGGUUGCUUAAACUUGAGCCUAGAAGUCAUUCUCCAUUAUGACCCACAUCCUGCCCUUCAAUAAAUCAUGGAUUAGGCCUUUAAGUUAUAUCUUCAAUUCAUUUACUUCUCUUCAUUUCCACUUCUGUCAUCCUAGUCGAGGGCACAGUUGUCUCCCCUGAUAUUAUUGCAGUGAUCUUCUGCUUGUUUUCUAUGUUUCCUCCUCUGUUCUGCCAUAGUCAUUCAUCAUAUAGAUGCAUUUAUGCUUCUUUAAAAUCCUUCAAAAUAUUUCUGGUUAAAUAAAAAUCCAAACUCCUCACGACAUCUCACAAAAUACAAAGGAUUUGAUCAGCCUUUUCCUGAGCAGUUAUCCUGGCCAUGGUUGGCAUAUUACCCUCUUUACUUUCUAGCAAACAUGGAGCUCUUUCCAAUAUGAGGGACUUGCCACCAUGUGGACUGUCUAUCUGCUAGUUUUGUGGUAUAGCUGAUACUCAUGUAUCCUUUAAAUCUUGACUUAAAUAACUCCUCUGUAGGCAAGCUUUCAAUAAUUUUUUUCCAAUUAACUAUGUCUUCAUGCUAUUUACCAUCAUAGUACCUGGCUAUUAUCUUUAUGGAAUUUGAUCAUUUUAUAAUUAUACUUUGUAAUUAUAUAGCUCUUUUUCUGUCUGUCUCUCCACUAGAUUUUAAAAUUUGGAGGAUCUAAACCAUUUCUUUUUUUCUCACCAUUAUAUACUUAUUAAUUAAUGGUGAUGAUCAUGUGUAGCAGGAAUUCAAUACCUUGUUCAUUGAAUGAAUGUAAUUAUUGAAUUAAAAUUACAUUUGGUGUGAUUUCCGAGUGCUAGAAAGACUAUCAUUGUUAAUUUUCUAUUGGUAACCAAAAUCAAUUAGAGCUGUAAUAAUGAAAACAUCGUGGUAUUGACAUAAAAAAAAGACACAGAGACUAAUGGAACAGAAUGGAGUACUGGGAAAUAACCUCAUAAAUUUUCUGCCAACUGAGUCUUCACCAAGGUACCAAAAACAUACAUUGGAGAAAGGACAGCCUCUUCAAAAGUUGGUAUUGGUGUUGGAAAAACUGAAUAUUCACAUGCAGAAUAUUGAAACUUGACCCCUAUCUCUCACUCUAUACAAAAAUCAACUAAAAAUGGAUCAAGUUCUAAAUAUAAGACCUGAAACUAUGAAGCUACCAAAAAUAAAUAAACAAAUAAAUGAAAACCAAAAAAAAAAAAACAUAGUGGAAACACUUCAAGAUAUCAGUCCAGGCAAUGAGCAUUUGAAUAAGAUCCCCAAAGCACAGGAAACAAAAGCAAAACUACACAAACGGGGUCAUGUCAAACUAAGAAGUUUCUAUGCAUCAAAGAAAACAAUCAAUACAAUGAAAAGACAGCCUACAGAAUGAGAAGAAUAUAUAUAUGUCAGAUAUUCAUCUGACAAAGAUUAGUAUCCAGAAUAUAGAAGGAAUUUAAAAAAUGACAACAGUAGUAAACCCCAAAUAAUCCAAUUAAAAAGUGGGUAAAGUAUGAGAAUGGACAGUUUUCCAAAGAAAGAAUUUAAAUGGCCAGCUAAUUUAUGCAAAAAUGCUCAGUUUCAUUAGUCAUCUGGGGACUGAAAAUCAAAAUCUCAGUGAGAUCAUCUCACCCCAGAUAAAACAUCUGUUUAACAAAUGCAGGAGAUGAUGUGGAGUAAAAGGAACUCAUAUAUUCAAUUGAUGAGAAUGUAAACUGGUACAGCCACUAUGGAGAAUAGUGUGAAUGUUCCUCAAUAAACUAAAAAUCUACUAUAUGAUCUGGCUAUCCUACUUCUGAGUAUAUAUCCAAGGGAAAAGCUAUCAGAAUACCAGAGACACCUGCAUGCCAUGUUUAUUGCUGCACUAUUCACAUAGUUGAGAAAUGGAAUUAACCCAAAUGCCCAUCAGCAGAUGAAUGGAUAAAGAAAUGGUGGUGUGUGUGUGUCCACAAAUGCAUACUAUAUACACAGUGAAAUACUACUUGGUCAUUAAAAGAAUGAUAUCCCAUCAUCAUGUUUAGCAAAAUGGACCAAACUGGAGAACAUUAUGUUAUAUGAAAUGACCUAGACACAGAAAAAGAAAUGCUGCAUGGUCUUUCUUAUAUGUGGAUAUUAAAAGAAAUCAAUCAGAAUAUAUAAUAGUGAUUAUUAGAGGCUGGGAAAUUGGGGAGGGAAGGGUAGAGGGAAGUUGGAUGAUUAGUAUACAAUUACAGUAAGGUAGAUGUAAUGAGCUCUAAUGUUCAUAGCACAUGGGGUGACUGUAGUUCACAGUAUCCUAUUAAAUAUUUUAUGAAUAGCCAAGUGUGUGGCACAUGCUUUUAAUCCCAGUUUAGGAGGCUGAGGCAGGAGGAUCUCAAGUGCAAAGCCAGCCUCAGCAACUUAGUGAAACCCGAGGCAAUUCAGUGAGACCCAGUCUCUAAAUAAAAUACAAAAUAAAAAAGGGCUGGGAAUGUGGCUCAGUGAUUAAGUGCCUUUGGGUUUAAUCCCCAGUGUGGGCAGGGGGGUGGGGAAUGAAUAACUCAAACUGAGAAGCUAGAAAGCUAAAAACAAAGUAAAGAUAAGGAGAUAGAAAUGUUAUUUACCUAAUUUGAUCAUCACAUUUUGUAUACAUGUACUGAAAUAUACUCUAACCCAUAAAUGUGUAUAAUUGUUAUGUUAAUCAAAAAAUUUUUAAAGAAUUAAGGAGAUGGAAAUGCUAACAAGCCUAGUUUGAUCAUUGCACACUGUAUAUACGUAAUGAAUUAUUACAUUGUAUCUCAUAAUUUGCAAAUAAAUAAUAAUAAACAUUUUAAAAGCGAAAAUGCUACCUUCAUAUAUGAAAAUGUCAAGAUUCUGUGAUUUGCCAGAUAUUUAGUAGCUAAUGUUUGCCGGCUGAUGACCAGUCCAGCUCUCAUAUAAUAUUAGAACAGAUAAAAGCAGCUGUUAAACUCAUCCUAAGUUGAAAAUAUUAAGUUGAAAGUGCAUCUAUUACAUUUGACCUGCCAAACGGUCUGGCUUAGCAGCACAGUUCACCAUAGAGCACUGGUUGUUGCCCUUGUGAUCAGGGGCAUGACUGGGAGUUGUAACUUACUACUGCUCUUGCCCAACAUUGCAAGAGAAUAUCAUGCCCCAUAUCACUAGCCCAGGAAAAGAUUCAAAUUCAAAAUCUGAAGCAUUGUUUCUAAUGAAUGUGUAUCAGCUUAGCACCAUUUUAAAGCUGAAAGUCCUAAAUCAGGUUAUUGUAGGCUGGGGGCCAUUUAUAGACUGCAGAGGCGAGAUUUGGAACAGUGAGACUACUGAAGAGGCUAUUUUAGUAAUCCAUGGGAUUAAGGUGGCUUGGACCAGGGACAUGACCCUGAAGGUACUAAAAACAAGUGAAAUUCUGGUUAUAUUUUGAAGAUGGAGCUGACAGUCCUUAUACCAGGUUGGAUAUAGGCAUGAGAGAAAGAGAAAGAGUUUCUUAUGCAUAUGUCUGAGAUGUUGUGCUUGGAUCAACCAGAAAGAUGGGUUUGUUGCUAACAGAGAAGGGGAAGCUGCUAGAAGAGCAGGUUUUGAAAGAGUAAUCCAGAGUUUAGACAAGUAAAUGUGAAGAUAACUUAUAACCAUCUCUAUGGAGAUAUCAAGAAAUCAGCUCUAUGUUUUCUCUGAUAUAAGGAGGUUGAAUCAUAGUGGGGUAGGGAGUGGGAGCAUGGGAUGAAUAGAUCAAUUCUAGAUAGGGAAAGGGAAGGGGCAGGGGAUUAGCAAGGAUGGUGGAAUGUGAUGGACAUCAUUAUCCAAAGUACCUGUAUGAAGACACGAAUUGGGUGUCAACACACUUUAUAUAGAGAGAUAUGAAAAAUUGUGGCAUAUAUGUGUAAUAAGAAUCAUAAUGCAAAAAAGUAUAUGUAUGAAGACAUGAAUUGGCAUGAACAUACUUUAUAUACAAUGAUAUAAAAAUGUGCUCUAUAUGUGUAAUAAGAAUUGUAAUGCAUUCAGCUGCUGUGUAUUUAUAAAAAUAAAAUCAACUAAAAUAAAUAAAUAAAUAAUUUUAAAAAGAGUGGAUCCCAGUGCACACAUAUGAUGUUGAGAGCCAUAAAACUGAAUGAGAUUCUGAAAAGAAAAUAUUCAAAUAAAGAGGAAAAGGUAUCCAGAAUCCAAACUCUUGGGAACUCUAAUAUGAAAAUGCAUUAAAGAUAACAGACAGUGAAUGAGGAUGAAAUUGGGUAGUGGUAGGUAAGCAAAGUGAAGAAAGGAGGAAGGAGUGAUCACCUUUGUAAUAUUGUGCUGAGAGAAUGGAUGAGAGGAAACUGAGCAAUGCAUGUGGCAAUGUAGAGGUCUUUGGUGGCCUUUCAGUUUUGGUGAAAUGAUGGAUGGCAAUGCUUGACUGGAGUUAGUUCAUCCGAAAAUGGGAAGAGAGUGCAGUCCUGGACCCCUUCAUUUUACACAAUGCCACUUACAAGAUUCUUAUUCCAAAUGAUGGACAAUAAAAUCUGUACUAACAGCCCUUUCCUGAGGAUUUUGGUGUAUCACCACUUGACACACUUUGGCAUAUCCUUCUAUAUGGUCAUUAUAUAUGACCUCCAGUGUCCAUCAGCAUUUUCAUUUUAUAGAAAUAAUUGUUUUCCUAAAACUUUGACACUUGCUGUCAACUUUGAGUAGCCAUCCUUCUUUUCUCCAACAGAAGAAAUACCUAUUUGUGUUUUAUAGACAAGUAUAUGUGAAAUUAAAAAAAAAAAACCACAGUAUCUAUAAAUUUCUAUGUUAGUGAUAUUUGCCUGGCUUUCUUUUAUAGAUAUAAUGUUUUUUCAUAAUUGAAAAUGUCUGUGGCAAGUGACAGAAUUAAUACUAAAUUUUUUUUCUACUGAAGAGGGACAAUUUGAUGUCUAUGUAUAUACACAAGUUUAUGUGUGAAAAAGUAACACAUUUUUUCAUAUAUGAGUAAAAAAUUUUAUAGAAGAAAAAGACUGACUAAAAUUGGACUCUCAAAUAUGCCCUCCUUCUGUCUCUCUGUAUAUAUGUAUUUAUUUCAAAAUAAUAUCAAAAUUAUUGAAAAAAUUUAAAGGACUUUUUUUCUGCACAAUUUGAGAGUAACUCAAUAAUAUGUUGCCACAUCACUCCAAGCACUUUAGUAUAUAAUUUCUGGAAAUAAAAUCUUCUCCUAUAUUAUCACAGAAUAGCUAUCAAAGUAGGAAAUUAAUAUUGACACAUUAGAUGCCAUUAAUCUUUUAACUUCUUGUCUGAAAGAGUUACUAAGCAUUUCCUUAAUCUUUGUGAACCAACACUGGCAGUUAUUUGUAGAAUACUCCUCAAUUUGGAUAUGCUUGAUGUUUCUUCAAUACUUGAUUCAGAUUAUAUAUUCUUGGCUUGAGUAUCAGAAGGGAUGCCAUGGUUUUUGGUACUCUAUGAUACUGUAUAGCAAAUUACCUCACUUUAUCUUAUUACUGAUGAAAUAACUUGGAACACUUGGAUAAAAUCAUGUUUGUCAAGUUUCUCCAAAGUAAAGUUACCCAUUUUUGCUUCAUAAUUUAAGAACUAUUUCACAUGAAGAUCAUAUGAAGCUAUGCAAUCAUCUCACACUUCAUCAAACUUUCUCUCUGUGGUUUUAGUAUUUGUUGAUAUUCUUUGGCUAGAUUAUUACAAUUAUGGUUACCCAGUAGUUAUUUUUAAAUUCCAAUAUUCCUUCUACAUCUUUUAGUUGUAUUCUACUAUAAGAAAAAAACUUUCUCUUCUCCCCAACUAUAUACUCAUUUUUUUAUCAGUGUAGAUUCCUAGAUGCCUAUUUUAUUUAAUGAAUUAUAAUUUGUUAUAGCAUUACUUAUUUGGAUGCACAUAUUGUCCUUGAUUUGACCAGUGGGAGUUCAUUUAUGUUGGCUUCCCAAUUAAUCAUUGAGUGCUUACUUAUUUUCUGGCACAAGAAGGCUCAUCUCAUACUUUUUCUGUCCCAGCUCUGAAAUUCACUAUUUCUCUAAGCAAGUCUAUUUCCCCUUAUGGAAGAUGGUAUUUAGAAAGCAACAUCAGUGUUGUUAAUCACGCUUAUUGUUACUCAGUAUUCCCAUGUUUUUCCAGUGCACAAAACUUGGGAAUAUUGAAUGCAUACAUUUACACAUAUUUAUAUUUUUUAUAUCUAAAAGCAUAUUGAAAACCUAGAGUUUACACUGACACUUUCAGUCCUAAUCUAAUCAAGAAGUUCCCUCUAGUACUCUACUUUUCUAUAUGAAUUUUGUAUAGAUAGUCAGAAACUCACUCUCACUAUCCUUAAAGUAUGUCUAAUCUGUUUCCUGGUAAGUAAAAUCUCUUGAUUCCAUGCCUUUUAACUGCUUCAGAUACUUUCAUAGCCUUGCUUAGGUUACAGCUAUGUUCCAGACUGGGCAUCCACACCUCUCCCUCCCCACAGUCAAUCUCCCAACAUCACAGGACUCUAACACCACAUUACCAGGCAUCAGACUAGGCAACUAUCAUCCCAUCCCUGCCUCUUGGACAUUUACUUCUUUUUAAAGUAAGGAGACAAGGAAAGAGGGCCUUCCUUACAUGGGGAAUAUACUCCACUGAGCUUCUGAGGAACUAACCCUGUGUUCCUCAGUGUUUUCUGUAACCUAUGAGGAUGGCAAAUUUAGGAACAUAUGCAAACUUAACUCAUGUCAAUGGCAUACUUACCAUUUCCUUUUCACAGUAAAUUUAGUAAAUGUGAUCUAAUAUUGGUACAUUUGUUUAUUUUCAGCUUUAAUGCUUUUUUUCCCACUAACUUCUAGAAAUCUGUGUGUCCUUUUUAUUUUAUGGGAAUAAACUAUUUUUCGGGUGUUUAAUUCAUUUCUCUGACAUUUUUGAGUGACUGGGCUGUUGGAAAACCACAGGAAUUUCCACAUUUAUUAUAUCGUCUGAGGAGAUGCUAAUCUUCCUGCAAUUUCAACAAUUGUAGAAAAAGUGCCACUGAUCCCCCCAACUUCAAUGUCCAGUGGUUACUGAUAUUGUAAAAAUGGACAUAUAUUCUUCAUAAUUCCAAGUUUCUUGUUCUUUCCAAGCACAAAUAAUCCAUUUUUUAAAGUUGGAACAUAUAUACAAUAAUUCUGUGCAUAACACAAAAAUGAGUCAUGUAAUAUUAAAGUUUUUUUAAGGUAAGGAUAUAAUUUUAAACAUUUUGCUGAUUUAUAAUUUUAUUUAUUUAUGUUAUGUGUGGAAUAUGAGGAAUAGCCAUUAUGUUUUUAUAUGCAAGACUAUGAAUAUCCUCCAGGCUACUUCAUGGAAAAUACACAUAAAAGCAAAAAGCCAAGAAAAUAGUUCAAAUUACUAAUUUUAAAUAGUAGCAACCAUAGAAGAUUGGACCUGAGGAUAGUUCCCACAUAAGAAUUGUAAAGGGACUGGGGUUGUGGCUUAGUGGUAGAGCACAUUCCUUGCAUGUGUGAGGCCCUGGGUUUGAUCCUCAGCAAUAUAUAUAUAUAUAUAAAGAAUGAAUUGUAAAGAGGAAGGGUAGUGUUUAAAUGCAAAUUCAGUUGAAUAGUAUGGGUAAAAUAGAAAUUCUGGGAGGUGAGAUCAAGCUGAGAAAAGUCAGAGUCAGCGGGGCAUGGUGGCAAGAGCCUUUUACCCCAGCAGCUCGGGAAGCUAAAGCAGGAGGAUUGCAAGUUCAAAGGCAGUCUCAGCAAAAGCGAGGCACUAAGCAAUUUAAUGAGACCCUGUCUCUAAAUAAAAUACAAAAUAGGGCUGGGGCUCAGUGAUGGAGUGUCCCUGAGUUCAAUCCCCAGUACCCCACUUCCGGACCCCACCAAAAAAAGUCAGAGUCAAAGCUAGCCCAGGUUCUCUUCAAGUUUCUUCUUCAGGUUUGGAGUCCACUCCUUAGGGGAAGAUCCAGCUCAGCCCCCUGCUAGCAAGUGCUUCAGUACUUUUCAUACCAUAGCAUUUGUUAGAUAUUAAUUUAUGAUUUAAUUCUAGCUUUCCUGUAAGUAUAGGACAAAGACCACAUCUUUAUGCAUAUUAAACCUAGUAGAGUGCUUAGUAUAUGCCAGGUGCUCAGUAAAUAAAUUUUAACAUGAAGGCAAUAGGAGAGUAAUUUGAGAAGCAAAAACAAUGUGUUUAUGUCUUCAAUUACAGUGGAAUAAUCAAUGAAGGAUUUGAUUAACUUUCUCACUAAGAUCCUCAGAAGAGAAAAAUGGAUUAAAGAAAAUUUUCCAAAUCAAGCAAUUAAAAUUUGCAAACAAACAAAAACCCUUUGCAUUAAUGUUUAAAUGUUGAGGUUGAAUAGAUAUUAAGAUGGAGUAGUGCAGAGAAAAGAAUAAGAGAGACCACCAUGGAAUUAAGACAACAUCAAGUGAACAUUUGCUAGAUCUGCACUGCUGUAGAAGUUGCUCAACUUGGAUAAGCCUCCAUCUCCUCAUCUUUAAAAUAAGAUUAAAAUAUAAUUACAAGUAUAAGGAUUAGAUAUAUGUCAAAUGUAUAUGUAAUAAAUGCUCAAGAAAUAUUAAGUUCUACUAUACUUAUCCCUGUUUUCCAGUUUUUAUUUGGUUUUAAAUGGUUGAGUUUAAUAAACUAAAAAGAAAUCCUCCAGAACUUACUGAUAGCCAGUAUACAAAAGUCAUGUUUUUUGACCCUUACCAAAAGAGCUGUGAGUUUCUAGGAGAAAAGAACAUGGUCUUAUCCUCCAGUUUAAUAUGUCUGGCACACAGGUGUACCACAUAUGGAAUAUCAUCACCAAAUAAAUAAUAAAUAUAAGAAAAUAUUCAUCUGUCCUUUACUUCCUGUCUCUUCUGCAAGUAUGUGUUCAUGUAGAGAAAAAUUAAAACGCAGUGCAAAAAAGAGUGCAGUCCCUGAUGAAAAACAGAGAUAAGUACUAGAUUAAAAGUCUGAAGGACUUAAAACCAAAAUACUGCAAUAAGCCAGUUAAGUCUGCACCUUUUUGAUACUGCUUGCCAACUCCAGUCCUGAUCUACAAAUAAUCACAGUGCAAUUACCCUAUCUAUCAUCUAACCCUCACAGUCUCUGUUGAUGAUUGUAUAUAGCUUAGGUAUCAUUUUAUAAAAACAGAGGAACAAAUUGAUUCUGUUUUUCUGCAUUGCCACCUCCAAAAAGCAGUCCAUGUGGCUUUCAUUAGUAGAACUGUGUAUACAAUUUACACAUAAAGCUAUCAUAGACUUAUCAUCCUAGACAGUAUGCCUGGGGAUAAUGUGGAAAUUAUGCUCUUUUGUGUGACUGGGAAGGUCUCCAAGAUGAGUGCCAUUUCUUGGAACAGCAGAAUUCUUUUCUCACAUGAGCUACAUGACAGAGGAGUGUUACACAGCUCACCCAUGGCUGUUGGCAGCCAAGUGGCACCCAAACAGAGUUCUGAUUCUGCAUUAUGUAAUUGGAAAUCCCUGCAGUGCAGUAAGUUUUCAAUGUGCACAAUGAUCUAAAUUAAUGUCUCACUUCUACUUUGGGAGAAUUAGACUGCCAAUGAUUUGAUUUUUUUUUUUUCUUUUAGGGGGCGAGAUGUAAUUUAUCAUAGAGAAAAUUGUAAUAGAUGUUUCUAUGUCUUGGUUUUGUGCAAGGAAGAUGUACCAUUCCUUUUGUUUUUCUACCUAAUCCUGUGGGAUGUGUGACUUAUAUGUUAGGAAUGCAUGUAUAUGUGUGUGUGGGUACGCGCACAUGUUCGUUUUCAUUCAUUUACCGUUUAAGGAGGAUGGUGCUUUGGUUAUCACACAUAAAAGCACGGUUGCUUAGUCGCCAAAAUAUGGGAGCUCUUCUCCCAGAGACAGCAGCUAUUUGUUCUGCAGAUUCCAAAGUUCCUGGAAGUGUUUUCCUUUCUUUCAGUUUUGAUUUAAAAUUGUUACUACUUUUUAAUCUAAUUUCUUGUAAAUGAUUAUUACCUAUAUCAUUUUCAUAAUAAAAAUGUGUUUCAAUGGAAACUGUUUUCUUUGUUAUUCUCAAAGGAAAUGCUGUUUUAUAGCAAUACCAACAGACUCUCACCUAGGAGGAAACAAUACAGAUUAUUCAGAAAUUUUUCUUCAUGACUUCAAGUGUAUGUGGAAUCAUUUACCCACUAUUAACCUUUCCUUGGAUUCUUUAGACUAUUUCAGAAGGAAAAUAUCUUUACAUGAAAAAAAUGACCCUGGGCAAUGACAGGGAAGAGUGAAUGUUUUAUGAAAACCAAGCUCUGUCUCCAUCUCUUGCAAAAUCUCUAGCUCACUUGCCCUAAUCUAACUAUGCCUCUGCUUUCUCUCUUUUGAAGCCUGGCAACAGCCUCUUAACUGGUUUCUCCACAAUUACUCUAACCUCCAAAGUGUCUUCACAGAACUCAUGUAGAGUCAGAUCACCCACUUCCUUUCCUCAAAACUGAGGCAUGAUCAUGCUUAAAAUUCUCCAGUGGCUACCCUUUGUGCUUAGGAUCAGAUAAACGAACUCUUGGACAGGUUUGGGUGGCUUGGUUUACUCCUCUAGCCUCAUCUCAUUCACUUCAUUCUUCUCCUCUAAACUACAGCCUCCCCUUCCUUCUCUAGGGUCCUUUAGAAACCCUCCUAUCUACACAUGUCCCUGUGCUUAGAGCACAGUUGCUCACACUUUGUACCCUAACCCUUUCUUCAACUCAAUUUUCAUUUCUCCAGAGUAGCUUUAUUCACCAAAAUAAUUUGUUCUUCUCCUUUAAAACCACCUGUAAUCCCAGCAGCUUGGGAGGCUGAGGUAGGAGGUUCAAGAGUUCAAAGCCAUCCUCAGCAAUGGUGAGGUGCUAAGCAACUCAAUGAGACCCUGUCACUAAAUAAAAUACAAAAUAGGGCUGGGGAUGUUGUUCAAUGGUUGAGUGGUCCUGAGUCAAUCUCCAAUAAUCCCCCACACACAAAGAACUAUAUAUAGUCCCCUAGCAUUUUGGUUUUCUCCUUUAGAUCACUUGCUACAGUUGGAAUUUUAGAUUUGUUUAUGUAAUGACUCUGAUGAAAAGUUCUUUUCCAUACUGCAUGUAUGCAGACAUUGCAUUUAAAAUUUUGCUUAACUUUGUAUACCACAAGUUAAUUUAGUGCCUGGAUUGUGAUAGGGGUUUCAUAUAAUCCCUUUUUUUUAAGAUGAAUGAAGAAAUGAAGUUAUAUGUCAAAAAUCUGGAAUAAAACUUUACUAGGCCUCUUAUGAAUAUGAGGCCAUAAAGCUAUUAAAGUAUAUUACAGAUUUUUUGGGUCAAAUUAUUUGGGCAAUCAAAUUGACCUUGAAAGCAGAAAUCACUUAGAUUUCAUCUGAAUAAACUACAGGGAAACAUGCCCUAACUCAGAAAAGAAAAUGAAUCUGGAUAGAUGGUAAUCUUUUUGUUCUUUACAAAUAUAGUGUGGGAAUUGGUCAGCAUGUCCAAAAUGCUCAUGUAUAGAAAUAUACAGUCAUAUUGUAACAACAAGCAUUUAUUGAGUCCUUCCUGUGUGUCAGACAUGGCACUAAGCUCUAAACCUGGGAUAACUUGUUAGAUCAUUCACAGCAGUCUUCAGAGGUACUAUUACUAUCCACAUUUCAUAGUGAAGAAACUGGAAAAGAUUAGGUGACUUACUAGAGGUCACAGAGGUAACUGGUGAGUCUGACAUCAUGAGAUUCUAGAACCAGCUCUUGUAAUAUCUUAUUAAUCCAUUUUGUUCCAUUGUUCCAGUUGUGGAAUACUUAGAAAAAUAUAGCAUAUGACAUAUGAUAAAAUUACAUAGUAAUAUAAGUGCAUUAAAAUUACCAUUAUAUUACUAUUAGUUAAUAUUAUAAUAGGUAUAAGCUCUAGGUUAUGAUUUUCAACCUAUUUGUUGCAUUUGUGUCAAUUUCAUUGAAAUAUUAGCAAAAUUCAACACCAGCAGGGGUAGGUGAUGAACAUUUUGUGUCUUGUCUGAUAAGUAGUAGGAGGAAAUGAACACUUAUCUUUGAGAUAAGCACAAAUAAUUUGCUCUCCCUUGAAUACAAAUAUCAUCUGCAUUCUAUUUCCAACAAUAUAAUGAAAUAAAAAUUCAUAUAAUUACCUAUCUAUUUUUUUGUAUUACCUUUAGAAAUAGAUAUCUGAGAUAUUUGAAUCAAUAUACUGGAAUCUUAAUGACAUAUUUGGCAUUAAAGUUCUGAUAUUAAAAAUAAAAUGGAUAUUUUAUAUAUCAUCAUUAGGUGUUUGCUAAUAUUCUAAAUUUAAUUCUUCCAAGUGCCUCAUAAAAUAAAAGCUAUUAUAUCCAUGUUAAAGUAUGAAAGGUGAGCACUGGAGUCCUCAGCAUACCCUAGUAACCCACCAGGGCUGGGCCUGCAUUUCCUAACUUUAAGUUGUUGUAGGGACAGACAAGGCAAGGCACUGAAGAUAGCAGGAAACAGUUUUCUUUUUUCUUUUUUGGCUACAGCCAGGUUCAAAGGGCACAGCUUUUGCCGUAAUCAAUCCAUCCCCUGAACCCGGAGUUCAGGUAGUUUCAGAAUUUCAUACCCAGCAUGUAAGAGGAGGGGCUCAGAAGUUCACAGUCUGUAGAAGUUCACAUAAAAGCAGUUUUUUUUUCUUUCUUUCACUGUUCUGGGCAAGUUAACCCUUCAAGGACAACAUCUGAGAAGGGGAGAGCUUCUUUUCCCCCUUCUUUCCUCCCCCUGCUAGCUGUUACCAUGGAGCCCAACUGGUAACUUCUCUUAUCUUAGAAAUGUAGACAUCUCUGUGAAGCCCCAGCUCAAGGCCAAAGGCCUUGUUUAUACAUUUCUACAAACUACUAUACUGGAUACAUGUUUGUGAAAAACUAGAAAGGGGGUGUCCGGCAACUGGAGUGCUGAUUUCUUCCCGGCCACUGGGCAAGUAAAACAGGGCAACACAAAAAUUGCAAGUUUAUCUACAUUGAACUCUUUUGUAGAGAUUCUUUUGCUGAUAGUCCUAAAAUCAGCCAUGGUGAAGAUUUCUGGAGAAAUCCAGUUGAGACUUUUCUGUGGAGAAAGGGGGUUUCAUUACAAAGUCCAGUACUUUGUUGGCACAGAGCUUCUCAAUCACACUGAGAUUAAAAGGCAAUCCACUUCUUGCAUACACAUCUCCAUAGGCAGGGUCUGCAUUCUUCAUUGUGUUCUCUUUUGAGUUCUGUGAAAUUUUAGUAAAGUUCAUUAAGCACAGUUUGUCUUAUGGAAAAGAAAAAACUAAAAACAAAACAGCUUUGUUUUUUGGAUUAAAGUUUAUCUGUUAAGAUAUGCAUAUACAUAUGUAUAUUUGCUUUAUGUGUACUUUGUAAUAAGCAUUACUAAUAAUUUUAUGAAAUUACAAAAGAAAUAGGGUCAGCAACAUGUUCUUCAGAGCUCAUUAGUAAUGAUUUGCAGUAAAAAAAAAUGGUCUCAAACUGAGUUUAUUGCUGCUUUUUUUCUCAUUGUUAGCUGCUGGGAAUAACAAUAAACACAAAACAUUUAAAUAGAUGAUAAGACAAUUAAAAUAGCAUUUUUAUGAUAGGUCAUAGUAUUAAGGCACUAAUGAUGGAAUUUUUAAUGUAAUGAUUGUUCUCUUUAACUUUCUGAAAGUCUCUUUAGAAAGGCUUUCUUUUUAAUCUUGCUCUAUUUACACCAAACCAUUAAAACUUUUUUCAGUGUAACAUAAGCACAGAAAAUGAGGGACAACAGAGAAGACUGUCUGGCCUCAGACCACCAGCUUUCACACUAAAGGCCUCAGAGCUAGUGUGCUUGAGAAUUCCACCAGAACAUACCAAAGUACAUGCAAACAAAAUCAGAAGACUUCCUCAAGGCAAGGGGGUAUGCAUGCAUGUAUUUUAAAUAGUUCAAUGUAAUUUAAAUAGUUCAAAACUACAGUAUACUUUGUUUUUCCCAUCAGGUUUUGGCUCUUUCUCUCCAGUGUGUGAUAUUGAUGCUGUCCCAUUGCCUUCUAUUGUAACCAUGAAGGUGAGAGAAAUAUGGUUGGGUAGAGGUAGAAGAAAGAAAAGUUCAGUAUUUUUUCCUGUAAACAUUUUAAGAUAUAAGUUGAUAAGGUCAGACUGGCUUUGUAUCAGUAGUUUCAGCUGAAUACCAAAUUCACAGGAGGCAGUGUUCAUACAUUCUGAGUUGAAAUUCGAAUGUUCUAAUCAAUGUUUAUGUUUCAUUUUGCAAAACACAGUAGUUCUUCUUUUUAAAUAGUUUUGACCUUUACAAAGAAAUUUCAUUAGAGACAAAACAAACAAGAAAAACCUCAAAACAAAAAAAGACCAGCAUGUUUUUGUUUUACUCCUCUCUCAGAGUAGCCGAAAACUUUAUGAAGUAACAUGUGUCUCACUUCUGGUGUGAGCUUUGCAGCACACCAUGGAAAGUCUUUGCUAUCUGUGGAGGAGAAACAGGUAGUAAAGAAAAUGCCUGGCAUAAGCAGCAGUGAACCUGAACUCAGAAGACUGGAAUCCUAGUCCUACUAACUCCUAAUCUUGAAAUCAGCUCUUCACCAGCUAAGGGACAGCAAAGUACAACUGAUGAUCCUCUCUUCCCCUGCUACCCACUGCUCUGGCGGAGCGGCAAUGUCCUGUGUGGGGUGGCUCUGUGUGGGGUGGCUCUGUGAUGAUUUACUCCAUUGUUGCAGUAUCUCUUCACAUUAUCCUUUGCACAAAUGACUGACAAAGUAAUCAUUCCUUUACCUCGUUUCCUAAUAUCAAGGUGAAUGUUUCCUUAGUCACAAAAUGAAUGACCCAAGAAGUGUAGAUCUGGAAGAAACAGGUAACUGCAGAUAUGUCUGGUACCUAUACUUUGUUGGCUAUCUUGGUUUUUUAAUCCUCAGCUCCUUGCAGUGCUUUAAAUGGCAGAGACUUUGAGAAUGGAUGCCUCACUGACAAGGGCUGGGGUUAAGCUGAAGGAUCGCAAUUAGUUGUUGGCCAAGGCUGGUUUCCUUACCAUCUCUCCCAGGCACUGUCAAAUAUAUUUAUUGUUAUGCUGAUCACUGGACUUUGGACACCUGAAGAAUGCCCUGUGGUGGUCUGAUUCUGCUCUGUUACUAUCCUUAUAACAUAAAAUGUGGUGUGUUUUCAACUUCUUUGGAUAUAGAAGACAUAGAAACCAAUGUCCUCAAGGGAUUGUGGUAGAGGUGGAAUAAAUCAACAGUGAAAGGCAUCUAAGCUUGGUGACUUUCACCUUCGUUUUCUUUUUUCCUUGUGGUGAGGAGAUCAAACUCAGGAGUGAGUUUCACUCUUAAAGCUUUACCAUAGCAUAGGGUAUACUCACUCUCCAUAGUGCCCAUUCCGCACAGAGAUCAAGACUCCUUUGCUUCUUUAAGGUUGACAUAGUUUUUGAAUGGGUGAUACAUAUAACUAUGAAAAGUCUUCUCUUCCUUGUACCAUAUUUAAUUCACAUGCACCCUUGGCCACAAACAGGUUAGCCCUAUUGUACACGUCUUGUGUAUUCUUACAUAGGUUUAUUUUAUGUUUUAUAUCCGUAACCCAUUAUUUGUCCACGUCAUCCUGUGAGAUCAUCCCUUUGAAGGGUUGGUUCUGAGGUUGAGCACUGUAACUUCUUUUUUCUUUCUCAAUGAACUGGAAAUAAAGCAGAGUCGCUGGUGCUUCAAAAAGCUAAGCAAAACAAUGCAAAACUGUACUUGUUAGGAUAUUUAGGUCUUAAGGGUAAAUCCCUCAUAACAUGCUGUGCAUCCUGUUAAAUGGGUUUUCUGUUUUCUGAGGAAAAUUAUGUGUAUACAGAUACUUCUCUCCCGGCUCAUCAUAAUGUUGGUAUAAUGAUAUGACAUUCAAGAAAAUCAUAAGUCUAGUCAAAUUUGCCAUUGUGAUGUAUCUAAGAAAAGUCCUGGGCAAAAAUCGCUGCUCAUCACAGAUCGUAAAUGCCUGGGCAUUGCUCACCUGUCUCUGUUGUCUGCAAGUACAUGUUUUUUUGUAGAGAAAUAAUCAGAUUCCUAUUGCACCCAACAUGUUUCCAGCAGAGUUUAGCACAAUUUCCUGUUACUAAUGACAGAAAAUAAAGGUUGAAACCAGAUUUACAAAAUACCAAAUUUAUAGUCCUAACAUUAAAAAGUAUAUUAUAAAUAGAAUUAUUUCAUACUUCUUAUUUUUUUAAUCCAUACUAGUCACAAAUACUGUUUCAGAUGGUUUUUAGUCAUGUAAAUUAUUUCUCUCUGACUGUGUAAUUAGUAUGAUGGACUGGUUUCUAGAGUAUCAUAUACUUAAUGUGAGUUUCUAAAAAUGCUUUAAUCAUAUAAUUGCUGGUUUAUCAAGUAGAAAAUAUAGGUCUGAGAACACUAUCAUUAUGUCAUUAUUUUCCACAAAAGACUGUGAAACACACUGAAGAGGCCAUUAUGAGGCAAAUAACAGUUUUUCUAUGGUGUCUAACUUUGCAAGGAUUAAAAAAGGGAGGGAGGGAGGGAGGCAAUAGUAAGGAAAAUGCCUAAAGGUAAAGAGUUUAAACUCAAGCAGGCAAUUUAUUUUGUGUCUCUGCAAAAUCAGUACAAAGGACGCAAAUAGGUGCCGAUAGAACAAGUAGACUGUCUAACUCAAUGAGUGCCACUGGUAUUUAGUAAUAAUUUCACUAAAGUCUGUGAAAAAUCCUAAAGAAAAUGAAAUAAUGUUCAGAUUUUCUGUUUGCAUUAGAAUCCAGUUGCACUGUUUCCUGCUAGUUAUUAUUGAGUGUACUUUGUUCAAGUGUGAUUGAAGUAGAUAAUAACUGACAGUCACUUGGUCUCAAGCCAGCAAAAACAGAGGCAUAUCAUCUGGAAUGGCUAACUGGUAAAUUCAAAUAUAAUUUUACAGAAUUCAAAUUAAAAAAAAAAAAACGCUUUCUGACAGUGAAUGGUUAUGGGUGAAAAAAAUCUAUUUUUAACCAAGUCUAGAAAAGGUCAAGGUAAUACUGUUCCCUUUGUGAGUUUAGCCUGAGAUAAGGAGAAUCCUAAAAUGUCUCUCUCAUUGUUUUUGUUAUGCAAGCGCGCGCGCGCGCGCACACACACACACACACCACAAAGAAGGUGAAUGAUUAUUUUAUUUCUGCCAUUAUGCUUUUCUUCUGCUUGAUUUGUGUGUUUUGCCUUUUGCUUUCCUUGCAAUGUAAUAUAUGAUUGGCUUUUGUUUUGUAUCUUGGGUAUUGAAGGUCUUUACUUUCAGAUACUAAAAACUACCAUAAGGAUGGCCAUCUUAGCUUUAAUCCUGUUUAAAAAAAAUCAGGUACCAUUUUCUCAGGUGCUUUACAAAUAAUCAAAAUGUUCUUCCCUCUGGUAUGUUAUUUGUCCCUAUACCUUAAUUGUAGGGGGAAAAGAUAGUCAUAAAAAUUUGAGGUGGAGGAAAAGAAGUUGAUAAAACCUAGCUCUAAAACUACAGAAUUUUGAAAUCUCAAUGGAUUAUCAUAAACUAAAACUAAGAGUCAAUAAUGCCAAUUCAUGGGGUGAUAUCAAUUUUGAAUCGGCAGGUGACCAAAUAGAUGCAUAUGCAUAUGAUGAAGGAAUUUUAUGUUAAUUAUUCAAACAUCAUAGUAUUUACAAUUAUUCCAGGGCAGUUUUUAAAACCUAAAUCGUGGUGUAAUUUUCACAAACCAUUUAAUCCAUGUAAGUUCACCAACUUUAAUCCAGUAUUAACUAAAAAUAGAAAGCAGACAAGGUUUGAGUAAAACGCAACCAAACAAAACAAAACAAAAAAAUGAAAAUACAUAAACCAAAACCAAAACCAAACCAAAGAAACUCAAGAUAGAAUCCAACAGAGAAGUGAAGGUAAAGGAGAGUCAGGAGACUACGAUUGAGGCAAGCAAAUCCAUGGGGAUAGAUCAGCAAAGUUGAAUCAGACUUUAAAUUUGGAUGGUUCAGCUGAGCUUACUUUUUAUAUAUUUGUUUUCAUUCCAGGAACAUUUAUUUAGAGUCUACUAUGUACUAGUAUAUCUAUCAAGGCAUGGAAUUUAAAGAAAUCAUAAAGUCCCUGCCCUCCAGAACAUUGAAUGAUAAUGAAGACAGAUAAGUACUCAAUUAAAAUACAACAUGGCAAAAGGAGUGAUGGCGGUAGGCACUGGUUAUUAGAACAUGCAGGAGAAUGGAGCUGUAGCACUCCCUGUGACACAGUGGGAGAGACCAUUUUCAGGGAAGGAAUCCAGAGAGGAGACACCGAAUUGUUUGGGUAUGAGGAGUUAGGUAUAAUGGAAGAAGAGAUGCAAAUCCAGCCAUGAAAGCAAUAAAUGGCAUGUGUGAUAAUUCUGUAUUAUUGGCAUAUAAUUGUGAGAUGGGAAGACAGGAUGGAUGUAGGCAAAGGCUAUACAUGAUGGUUCUGUGAGGAAGGUUGGGCUUUUUUCUGAAGAGGAAAGGAAUCAUUAGAGAGUUUUUUCUGCUAUUUCUAUGGAGGAUGAAGUUGAGGGAAAUGAUAUUUAAGCAGACAGAACAGUUAUGCUUUAUGACCUUGUAGAAUUUCCUCAUAGAAGAUCAUCAGAAAAUUAAUAGAAAAGCCUAAAAAUUACUGUGGUUUUCUUGUGUAUGACAAUUCUUUUCUUCUUUGUAGACGGAGAAGCCUGAAGGGGAAAAAACACAGUCCACUGUUUUCUGAGGAAGAACUGUGAGACCCUCUUGCCUCCACUUGUAAUCAUAGGGAAGUGGAAGCUGUGUUUCCUGGAGACCACCUGGGUGAAAAAUGCUAAAUGGACAUCACAGAAGAGCUGCUUUAGAAGUGAAGUUUUGAUUUGAACCACUCAUUUAGUGGUUGUUAAUUAAAUCAAUCUGGUAAUCUGGGUUUUACUUUUUUAAAUGAUUCAUUUAUGAUUCCAAUAUCAUACUAAAGAGGUAGGAAGGAAAAAUAUUCAGAGUAGUAAAAUUAAGGUAGAAGAGUCUAAGAUAAUAAACAACUUCUGUCACUGAUCAUAAAUGGUUAUAAACUCUCCUACUAUCUAUAUAUCUAUAUCAAUAUCUAUAUCUAUAUCUAUCUCUCUAUAUAUAAUGGCAUAAGAACAAAUGUGAAUUUGUUAAUAAUCAAAAUUAUAGGGCAAAUCUAAAUGAGAGAAAAGAAAAUCCUCAAAAAUUUCAAGUAUUUACCCAUCAAUUUUUUUCUUCUGUGUCCCACACUCGUUUCAGAAUACACAUUAAGACUGUCUUCCCACUUAGACAUACUUUCUGUCUCUGGGGAAUGUAAUGCAUACUGUGAUUCUUUAUGGAUUAACUGUAAGUCCAAGACAGUUUUAAGACAUCAAAACUGCCUAACUGGAAACUCUGAGCUGCCCUCAGCCAGUAACCUAGGGGGCUGUGCAACUCAUAGCCUCUGCCUACCUUCACUUGUUACUGCAAUGGAAAUUUCUAUCACUUCUGUUGGGCAGUGACUUUAACGUCUUAUGACCUUUACUUGGCCUGCCUGGUGAGAGUUCUUUGAGGAAUUACAGUUGUGAACAUGUGCUUAAUUUAUUUUU
Molecule: long non-coding RNA, 30370 nt
Filed under: Marmota monax (woodchuck)
Lineage: Eukaryota; Metazoa; Chordata; Mammalia; Rodentia; Sciuridae
Rfam family: tRNA (bases 18490-18552)
Source: RNAcentral